RNAcentral lists this ribosomal RNA (502 nucleotides) under uncultured bacterium. RNAcentral describes it as "bacterial SSU rRNA". It matches the Rfam family "Bacterial small subunit ribosomal RNA", at positions 16 to 507 of the family's 1533-position model. The record is from RNAcentral.
AUCAUGGCUCAGGAUGAACGCUAGCUACAGGCUUAACACAUGCAAGUCGAGGGGCAGCAUUAUCGAAGCUUGCUUUGAUAGAUGGCGACCGGCGCACGGGUGAGUAACGCGUAUCCAACCUUCCCCAUAGUCAGGAAUAGCCCGGCGAAAGUCGAAUUAAUGCCUGAUGUUUUCCACGGACGGCAUCUGAUGUGGAACAAGGAUUGAUCGCUAUGGGAUGGGGAUGCGUCUGAUUAGCUUGUUGGCGGGGUAACGGCCCACCAAGGCAACGAUCAGUAGGGGUUCUGAGAGGAAGGUCCCCCACAUUGGAACUGAGACACGGUCCAAACUCCUACGGGAGGCAGCAGUGAGGAAUAUUGGUCAAUGGGCGGAAGCCUGAACCAGCCAAGUAGCGUGAGGGAUGACUGCCCUAUGGGUUGUAAACCUCUUUUAUAAGGGAAUAAAAUACGGGACGUGUCCUGUUUUGCAUGUACCUUAUGAAUAAGGACCGGCUAAUUCCGUG